Molecule: ribosomal RNA, 465 nt
Filed under: uncultured bacterium
Lineage: Bacteria
Description: partial 16S ribosomal RNA
Rfam family: Bacterial small subunit ribosomal RNA
Source: RNAcentral
CUACGGGUCGCUGCAGUGAGGAAUAUUGCGCAAUGGGGGAAACCCUGACGCAGCGACGCCGCGUGGAUGAUGAAGGCCUUCGGGUCGUAAAAUCCUGUCAGAAGGAAAGAAGUGUAUGGUAGCUAAUAUCUGCCAUACUUGACGGUACCUUCAAAGGAAGCACCGGCUAGCUCCGUGCCAGCAGCCGCGGUAAUACGGAGGGUGCAAGCGUUGUUCGGAAUUACUGGGCGUAAAGCGCGCGUAGGCGGUUUUAUAAGUCAGAUGUGAAAGUCCACGGCUCAACCAUGGAAGUGCAUUUGAAACUGUAAGACUUGAGUAUUGGAGGGGGUAGUGGAAUUCCCGGUGUAGAGGUGAAAUUCGUAGAUAUCGGGAGGAAUACCGGUGGCGAAGGCGACUAUCUGGCCAAAUACUGACGCUGAGGUGCGAAAGCGUGGGGAGCAAACAGGAUUAGAUACCCUUGUAGUC